Molecule: ribosomal RNA, 253 nt
Filed under: uncultured bacterium
Lineage: Bacteria
Description: partial 16S ribosomal RNA
Rfam family: Bacterial small subunit ribosomal RNA
Source: RNAcentral
GCAAGUCGAACGGUAACAGGAAUUAGCUUGCUAAUUUGCUGACGAGUGGCGCACGGGUGCGUAACGCGUAUACAAUCUACCUUUUGCUGAGGGAUAGCCCAGAGAAAUUUGGAUUAAUACCUCAUGGUAUUAUUGAUAGGCAUCUAUUAAUAAAUUAAAGGUACGGCAAAAGAUGAGUAUGCGUCCCAUUAGCUAGUUGGCGAGGUAACGGCUCACCAAGGCAACGAUGGGUAGGGGGCCUGAGAGGGAGAUC